RNAcentral lists this ribosomal RNA (1342 nucleotides) under Lactiplantibacillus plantarum. RNAcentral describes it as "bacterial SSU rRNA". It matches the Rfam family "Bacterial small subunit ribosomal RNA", at positions 32 to 1340 of the family's 1533-position model. Lineage: Bacteria; Bacillati; Bacillota; Bacilli; Lactobacillales; Lactobacillaceae. The record is from RNAcentral.
AACGCUGGCGGCGUGCCUAAUACAUGCAAGUCGAACGAACUCUGGUAUUGAUUGGUGCUUGCAUCAUGAUUUACAUUUGAGUGAGUGGCGAACUGGUGAGUAACACGUGGGAAACCUGCCCAGAAGCGGGGGAUAACACCUGGAAACAGAUGCUAAUACCGCAUAACAACUUGGACCGCAUGGUCCGAGUUUGAAAGAUGGCUUCGGCUAUCACUUUUGGAUGGUCCCGCGGCGUAUUAGCUAGAUGGUGAGGWAACGGCUCACCAUGGCAAUGAUACGUAGCCGACCUGAGAGGGUAAUCGGCCACAUUGGGACUGAGACACGGCCCAAACUCCUACGGGAGGCAGCAGUAGGGAAUCUUCCACAAUGGACGAAAGUCUGAUGGAGCAACGCCGCGUGAGUGAAGAAGGGUUUCGGCUCGUAAAACUCUGUUGUUAAAGAAGAACAUAUCUGAGAGUAACUGUUCAGGUAUUGACGGUAUUUAACCAGAAAGCCACGGCUAACUACGUGCCAGCAGCCGCGGUAAUACGUAGGUGGCAAGCGUUGUCCGGAUUUAUUGGGCGUAAAGCGAGCGCAGGCGGUUUUUUAAGUCUGAUGUGAAAGCCUUCGGCUCAACCGAAGAAGUGCAUCGGAAACUGGGAAACUUGAGUGCAGAAGAGGACAGUGGAACUCCAUGUGUAGCGGUGAAAUGCGUAGAUAUAUGGAAGAACACCAGUGGCGAAGGCGGCUGUCUGGUCUGUAACUGACGCUGAGGCUCGAAAGUAUGGGUAGCAAACAGGAUUAGAUACCCUGGUAGUCCAUACCGUAAACGAUGAAUGCUAAGUGUUGGAGGGUUUCCGCCCUUCAGUGCUGCAGCUAACGCAUUAAGCAUUCCGCCUGGGGAGUACGGCCGCAAGGCUGAAACUCAAAGGAAUUGACGGGGGCCCGCACAAGCGGUGGAGCAUGUGGUUUAAUUCGAAGCUACGCGAAGAACCUUACCAGGUCUUGACAUACUAUGCAAAUCUAAGAGAUUAGACGUUCCCUUCGGGGACAUGGAUACAGGUGGUGCAUGGUUGUCGUCAGCUCGUGUCGUGAGAUGUUGGGUUAAGUCCCGCAACGAGCGCAACCCUUAUUAUCAGUUGCCAGCAUUAAGUUGGGCACUCUGGUGAGACUGCCGGUGACAAACCGGAGGAAGGUGGGGAUGACGUCAAAUCAUCAUGCCCCUUAUGACCUGGGCUACACACGUGCUACAAUGGAUGGUACAACGAGUUGCGAACUCGCGAGAGUAAGCUAAUCUCUUAAAGCCAUUCUCAGUUCGGAUUGUAGGCUGCAACUCGCCUACAUGAAGUCGGAAUCGCUAGUA